This 214-nucleotide long non-coding RNA is filed under the name Mytilus galloprovincialis (Mediterranean mussel). The record is from RNAcentral. Lineage: Eukaryota; Metazoa; Mollusca; Bivalvia; Mytilida; Mytilidae.
GUUAUCAUCAGGAAACAAUGUUAUGUAUUAUACUAAAUUAAGUGGUUUUAUACAAUAUGGAAACUGAGAUAAAAAUCUGCCAACAUGCACUUUGCACCAACUCUUAAUAAAGGUUUUGACGCAUUGUUUUACAUGUGCCAGUAUCUGAAAAAAAUACUUUUAAAGACCAUGUUAAAUCUGACACCAGCAACAAAUGACAAAAUCAAAAGCUCAA